RNAcentral lists this ribosomal RNA (839 nucleotides) under Triticum aestivum (bread wheat). Its description in RNAcentral is "partial small subunit ribosomal RNA". The record is from RNAcentral. Lineage: Eukaryota; Viridiplantae; Streptophyta; Magnoliopsida; Poales; Poaceae.
GAGGGAGCGAGGCUAGACCUCUUGAGGAGGCUCUCCCCUUCGGCGGCGGGGGUUGGAGAGAGAGGCUGAAACUAGGCGACGGCGAGGCUAGGAGUGGGGGUGGCAGCCGCUGGGAGUGGAUCAGGCCGGGGUCUAGCGCUUCCGCGAGGGUCAGGCCGCUGCCGGCACGGGUGCGGCUAGACCUGGUCCUAAGGAGUACGUCUGGGCCACUUAGGUGGGUGGUUCGUGUGCGUCGCGGGCGGACGAGGGUGGGGACGUAAAGGGCCGGUCAAGUAGUCUCUAAGUUCUAGCCCAACAAGGGGCACAAGAACCGAAGACGCCCGAGAUUAGCAAACGUAACCACCAACAACGACGUCCAUCCGCCGGUCGCCGUCCUACUUCCGGUUCUGUCCGAGGGCGUGGCCGCUGAGGGAACGACGACCGCCGUCCUACUUCCGGUUCCGUCCGAGGGCGUGGCCGCUGAGGGAACGACGACCGCCAACCUACUUCCGGUUCCGAGCGCCACUUCUUCUCGUUCCGGCUGUUCCUGGGGUUGUUCGGGUUCGCGGGGGGCUCGCGGAAGAAGCAGAAGCGUCCCCGUGGAAGUCCUUCCUCAUGUUCCUCUUCGUGGGCUGUAGUACGUCCAGAGACACCAUUCGAAGAGCCAGGGCAAGGCGAGCGGGGGCGGACCAACCAACUAGACACGUACUGUGAUAUACGAACCAAUCAACCGGUUACAUAUAAUAACAUAAGUGAAACAUGUCGAUCAGGUGUUGAAAAGAAUACAACGUCAUAGACACAUAAGUGAGACAACGGUGACUUGUAACGUUAGUAAGUUAAUAAGAUGAAACAAACAGAAC